GUUUAAAAUACAGGAAGUGACGUUUGACGACGAUGUAACGCUUUGGUUAAUAAACAACACUUUCGAAGAUGAUUUUGCAACGCUUUUGAACGUUAGCUAAUUCAAAUUAGCAGAGUGUUUUAUUUAUUUGUUUAGCUAACGCAUCAUAAAGAUUUAAAACAAUGUAGAAUGGGAAAACGGGUAUAUUUGUUUUGCUAUGAAGCGUCUGGUGCUAGCUAGCUAGCUUAUCACAACAACUGGAUGGCCUUUGUUUUUCAUGGGUGUUUUUCAGCCAGUGCUGACCAGCGAACUAGUCUUUUCGCCUGUCAACAUCCCUGGAUUUUCUAAAGAUGAAGAGAAAAGUGGCUCGAUUACGGUUAAGUCCAAAUGAAGAAGCGCAACUCAUUCGAGAUGAACACGAAAGGAGAAGGAAGCUGUGAAUAGAACAGGUGCGGGAACAGGAGCGGUAUAUCGCCCUGCAAAUCCGCACGGAGGUGCGGCAGCGACGGGAGCGCGAGCUGCAGAACCUGGCGCAGGAGUUGAAGGAGGAGUGGGAGCGACAACAGAGGGAGAAACAGGAGACCCUGCAAAAGUUAUAUCAGGACAAUCUCCGAGUUUUGGGAGAGGGACAUAGAAGUGCCAAAGAAAAUAAGCCUGACUGUGAGGCAAUUGCACAGAGAAAUUAGGGGAAUAACGUUCGGCAGAUGAGCGCUAUCGAGACGCCAUCAAACAGCUCAAAUCACAGAGACAGAAAGGAGGAGGAGCAAAAUCGUUUUAUUGAGGCUAGGAAGAAGGCCAUACAAGUGGAGAAGGAGAGGGCAGCAACUGUGGCCAACCUCCCAUCCCUUCCACCCAACCCAAUUGAGAAUAUUGAGUCAAGGAAGCUACCUGGAGUGAAGAAAUCGGACAGAGAUGCCUUCUCUGUGACCCACUAUCACAUGCCAGAGACUGCAGUGGACAGGGAAGUUGACAGUACAGCCAAAGGCAUGGGAGGUGGCAGAGGAGGAGGUGCGGCGCCUGCAGGAGCUAGAACGGGAGGAGCAGAGGGAGAGACGGGAGCAGCUGGAGAAAGCUCGUCUUAGGGGCAACCACGCGCUGAGGAGGGAACGGCUCACACAGGACCGAGAGUGCCUCCUGGUGGAGCUGGAACACAUGCAUCAGACAGACCUGUUGAGGCGCAGGCAGAUGAUGGCUCAGAUGCCUGCCCAGAUCUUCUAGCUGCUCUACAAGAGACAGGAGAUGAGGGAGGACUGGCAGAGGGACAUGGAGUUCACCUUUGAGGACAUGUACACUGGAGAGAGUAGUAAGGGUGGGGGGUCCAAAUCAGGAUGAAUUUUUCCGUGCUCUGCUCUGGCCCCGAGUACACAAUUUGUUGGUAUUGCCCUGGUGCAUAGAUAAGUUGUUUUACUUGAUUGAAAUGGAGAGAUUUACCCUAUCCUAGACAGUAGUGUGGACACAUCGUUAUGAGACCUAAUUACCAUUAGUACAUUGGCAUGGAGUUUCUCUAUUCAUCUAAUUAAACCUGUACUGCUCUUUUGCCUGCAGGAGUGAAAGGUGACCUGGUGCUGCAGCUGGUCCCAGAGCCUCUCCCAGCUGUGUCCACUGGCAGCCAGGAUGAACACCUAGACCUGACCCUGGAGGAGGCCACUCCUGACCUUACACCCUCGGCUGGGGCAGAGGAACAACCGGAUGAAGAACCAUCCAGGCCUCUAGGUGGUGCUCCCAGACAGGCCUUGAAGAAGCUACUGACCCGUGUCAGGUCACAGAGAGACCAGUGGAGCUACCGGAGGCUGGUUGACCCCACAUCUGACUGCCAAACUAUUCAGACAGCAGAGCGCGACACGACCUCAGAUGGUACGACCAUUGAGUCAGGCUUUCUGGCCAGCGAAAAGCAGGGCUGACCGUUGACCACUAGUCCCAGACUCCCUGACCCCUCUCAGCCAGCACAAGCUAUAGAGACAAUAGAGGACUCCAUAGUAGCUGGUACCCUGCUCCAUCCUGAUAAACAAGCCAUCAAGAUCCACACAUUUAAACUGAGAGGAAGAGAAGGGAGGAGGAGCUAGAGAGGCAGGAGCAGAUUGCCCUGCUACAGGAUUUAGGGGAGAAGAAGAGCAAGCUGGAGCUACUGCAGGAGGCCCAGGAAGAGAGGGAGCAGCUGCAGACGGCCAUGACCCAAGACACUGCUGCUGCAUCUGGAACACUGAAAACACCAGCCCAGGACGUCAGCCCUGCUGCUCCAUCUCCUGAGUCUACUAUACACUCAGCUGCUGAGGAUGACCACCCCAGGAGAAUCAGAGAGUAUCAGCAGCGUCUCUUAGACCAGAACAGGCUUCAUAAGCAGUCAGUGGAAGAGUCUCACCGGCGUCUGGAAGAGUACCAACACACGCUAAGAAACCGCUAUUCUGGUGUAACUACGGCAACAUGUCUCCCUCCUGGUACCACAGCCCGUCCUCUACCACACUUUAAAGGAGGAAUCAUUCCCCCGGUAGUGCCACUAGAACUCCCCUCUGGCUCCCCUGUCUCCCUGUAGCACUUAGUACCCACUCUAGAGCUCACACCCCUCUGGACCUCUCCACACGGGAGCCCUCCAUCUUGGCUCAAACUCUCUUCCUUCCUGGCGCAACAGUCUGCUCGCAUAUCAACUCCAGGGCCUCACCAGUGCAGCUCGAACCCACCGCUUAAAGCCUAAGAGACCAAAGAGCAGGUGUUUCUGCUUGGCUGGCGGACAAUGUGUUUAGUAGGGUCACAGAGGACCUCCCUGAGAAGCUACCUGGCACCUCUACCUCGUUGGACCCCCAGUCCUACAGACCACAUCCUGUUUCCCUCCACUCUACUCCACGCAUCCCACUCCCAUCAACAGCUGACUCCAUCCCAGCCAUUAGCCCAACCCUUUGAGAAGAGUCAGCUACUCUCCCUGGGGAGGCCCCGGUGAAGCCUGGGCCUGUCCUGUGGGCCUCAGCCAGGUCUGGGGAAGAGGUGGAGAGGCAGAGGCAGGAGAUACGUGAGGCCCAGAGGGAGCAGAGGGAAGAACGGAGAUGGCUGGAGGAAGAGCAGAGGAGGAGACAGAGGGAGGUGUUAGACACUGCUCACUGCUGACGACACACAGGUGAGGAAACAAACAACACCUCAAGGGUUUUACCUGCUGGCAGGGCCACUAUUGGUUUAAAGUGAUUCAAAAAGUAAGAUUAACACUAACAAAUAAAUAGGUAGCCCAAACAUGUAAAUUGUCAAUGAAAUUGUGUGGAUAUACUCUCUUGUCUACUGACUCUAAAGUAGUUUAGACUUUUCUGUGUCUGCCGGUCUCUCUCUGUGUCGGUGUGUGUGUGUGUGGCUCCCCCAGCCUGGUUCAGAGAUCGCUGAUGGUUUGGGGUCAAAGGUCCUGGGGUCAGAGUGUGUCCAUCUGAUUGCAGCUCUGCUCAGGGCCAUCGGAGUCCAAUGGGCAAACAUCAUCAUCUGUAGAAGCUAAUCAGAGCCAAGACAACACACUCAAUGUCCAGAGUUCACACCCAGACAGACCCGCCCCUCACCAACUUCCCCAACCACCACCCCCGAGCAGCCAAACCCCUGGUGGCCUGCGCCAGGCUGGUCGUCAUGGUGAUGACAGAGCAGCAUGAGCUCAGGCCUGAUCACAGGUCCAGAAGUGAGUGUGAGGCUGUCUCGUAUUGAAAGGGCAUUUCCAGAAGAACAGGACCCCUUGGCCCACUCUGAGAGAGGUCACUCCAGCACCUCUGUGUUCAGUGCAGGGGAACACACAGCUGGGAGUGAGACAUUAACCAGGUCUGGUAGAUCCAGCAAGCUAUCCUGGAGAGAGAGAGAUUACAGCUGGAGGCUGGUGCCUCUCCUGAACCUGUUUUGUCCAGUUGGAGAUCCUGUCCUUCCAGUCAGCCGGUAGACCCUCAGAACCAGACUACCUGUCUUCCACCACCAUCUCUUCUGGCAGCUUCGCCACCACUGACCCUGAACACACCUCCACCAAAAGUGUGUGUGUGUGUGACUUGUUUAUAAGCCUAAUCAAUUGAGUAUCUAUCCAGGCCAGUCAUGUCAGAAAUUCUAUGUGAUAAAUGAUAGUUGCAUUUAAAAUGGAGAAAUCUAAUCCUCUGUUUUAUUCCCCACCCCCAUAAGACUCUUCCCUGCUCUUGGCUGGGUUUAGAAGAGGGAAGAAAUCAUCGGUCAAUGGCUCCUCUUCAUGAAGACACAGUUCCUGUAGAGACGUAUCUGGUCCUGGGUCUCCCAUCUCAGACUCACUCCUACACAGCAGCAGUAUCCAGCGCAUCAUAGACAAAUACACCCGGGAGCUCAACCUCUCUCUCAGUUCUGCUGGGAACCAGAUGGGAGCUGAUGGGUCUAACUCCCUAGGCUGGGUGGAUCUGAGAGGCUCAGGCCAGACAGGAGUGUCAUCUGACCCAGAGGGAGCCCCUGAAGCCCAUUCAUUGAGCAGCUCCUUUCUCCCUGGACUGGAACUUCUGCCACACUACCAGUGCCUGCAACGCUCUGGCACCAGCUCCCAGGAAGCAGACAGGACUGGGGCCUCCGACUCCUUCCACCCCCUCCUGGCUGAAGUCACACACAACAAGACAGCUGAACCCUCCAUGACCUUUCACCUUCCAGAAGAGGAAGUGGAGGGGCUAUGUUCCCACGAAGAAGAAAGUGACCAUGAAGAACCUGCAGGGGACCUUGAACUCUCUGCAUGCUCAGUUGAGUUUGUGGACGACACUUGGUCUGUCACCUCUGACCCCCCCCCUCCUGAGUGCCUGAGAGGAGGGGAGGAACCACCUCAGCCCUCGCCCGCCCUGCACGACUCCUUGUACCAGCUGACCAUGUCCCAGUGCCUCCCUCAUAACUCUGCUCUGGAUGUAUCCCCAGGAGCAGAGGUGGGGGGGUCUGGCAGCAUGUUCCCUCUCUCUGUGAAGAUGUCCCCACUUUGGACAAGCCACUUGAAGGCGGGGACACUGAUAUGGAGAGCACACCAGCACCUCAGACAGUUGACCAAUGAGGUGCUAUUACCAUUAAGGACCUGGGUGCAGGAGAGCCGGAUGCCCAGCUAUGUUCAGAGUCAAAGAUCAGCCCUCCCAUCUGGGAGAGAAUAAUGGUGGGCAGUGUGAAGGGGAUAAUGGACGAUUCCAUGCUGACCCUGAUGAGCCUGACAGACACCACAUUAAAGGACCACGGACUCGCUGAGGAAGGAGAGAUGGAUGAGGUAUCAGACCAAUAAGGCAUUGUGGAAAAGGAAUCAGAGUGGACAGUGUUGCCAGAGGAGGACGCCAGCCUACAGGACAACCCCCUCUCAUGCAGUAAUGCUGCUGGAGUUCCAGUCGUGUCCCAGCGUGAAUCUACAGGAGGCCUUCCAGCAGAAACGCAGAGCCCUGAUCCAGAGGUCUGCCCGCAGGGUGGAGGAGAUUCAGGCCAAGACGUCUGAAGACAAAGCAAACACCAGGGCCCAGUCUGAAACCACUGAGACCAGGGCCAACACAACCACCAGGGCCCAGUCUGACCCAACCACUGUUCAGUCAUCCACUACUAAACCCAGGAGGGAGGGGAGGAGUGCAGAGUCAACCCAUGCAGGAGUGGAUUCCAAGCAGAAAAAGCAACAGCCAAAGCUCCAAACUCCCUUGCAGCCUCCCAUGCUAGCCAAGCUGAAGAAGGUUGGGGAGGUGAGGAUCAGCACUCCUGAGAUGAGGAUACAGGAUGUGGCUGACAUGCGCCAGAGAACAGAGAGGUUGUACAGCCGACUAGAUGAGGUAAAGCUUCAGGAGGAGGUCAGGAGCAGACAGGAGGCAUAUGCCAAAAACGGGAGAAGGCCAAAGAGUUUCACAAGAAGCUACGGGCCAAGCAGUCUCCGCAAUGAUACUGAAUAUCAGUUUUAUCUGUUGUCGUGUGUUCUGUGUUUGCACUUAUUUUGUACUUACAUGUGUUUUUGUACAGUUUAAUCAGUAAUGUAAAAUAUAUUUUACGAGUGUGUAUAUAAUCUGCGUUCAGUCUAUUCAUCACAAUUUACUGUGUUCACACAACAAAGGCAGCCAGUGCACUAUUGCACCUUGAAUGCUGGCGGUACACCCAUUGCAUUAUGAGAAUGUUAUGUUGCCUGUAAAAAUAUUUUAGUUUCAGGUUUUUAUAACCAAUAAAGUUGUUUGUUGCUGAUUUUGCCUAUCCUUAUAAGUUGUAUUAUGGGAGGCCACUUGACCUGAAAAGAUUGGAAAACGUCUAGUCUCAUAGACGUAAGCUAAUGUUAACGUUAGCUAGAAACUAACUUUAG
RNAcentral lists this long non-coding RNA (6232 nucleotides) under Salmo salar (Atlantic salmon). RNAcentral's name for it is "lncRNA (ENSSSAG00000106394.1, ENSSSAG00000117631.1)". Lineage: Eukaryota; Metazoa; Chordata; Actinopteri; Salmoniformes; Salmonidae. The record is from RNAcentral.